GGUAAUACUUAACGGUUUCUGCUACUUAACUGGCUACUAGUUCAAAAUAGUCAAUUUAUUUCCAAUUUGCAGAUCUUUGACAGGGAGAGAACGAAAAGAAACGGUCCACACAGGAAGACGCGCCCGAAUCAGAAUUCAGAGGGAAAAGUAUUUGAAAAAUACUUAGUGGUCAGUGUAGACAGAACCCACCAACCAGUCGUAUGUGUUAAAAAAACAGAGCAAAUGAUCAAGAGGG
Molecule: long non-coding RNA, 235 nt
Filed under: Sorghum bicolor (sorghum)
Lineage: Eukaryota; Viridiplantae; Streptophyta; Magnoliopsida; Poales; Poaceae
Description: long non-coding RNA (SBIC_LNC007470)
Source: RNAcentral